This 367-nucleotide ribosomal RNA is filed under the name uncultured organism. RNAcentral's name for it is "bacterial LSU rRNA". It matches the Rfam family "Bacterial large subunit ribosomal RNA", at positions 2099 to 2465 of the family's 2925-position model. The record is from RNAcentral.
CUUUACUGUAGCCUGGUAUUGGGUUCGGGCUUUGACUGCGCAGGAUAGGUGGGAGACUAUGAAGCUGCCCUUGUGGGGGCAGUGGAGUCAUCAGUGAGAUACCACUCUGUCAAGGCUAGAAUUCUAACCGUCUGCCGUUAUCCGGCGACGGAACAGUAUCAGGUGGGCAGUUUGACUGGGGCGGUCGCCUCCUAAAUGGUAACGGAGGCGCGCAAAGGUGUUCUCAGGCUGGUUGGAAAUCAGCCGCAGAGUGUAAAGGCAGAAGGGAGCUUGACUGCAAGAGCAACAACUCAAGCAGGGACGAAAGUCGGCCUUAGUGAUCCGAAGGCGCUGAGUGGAAGGGCCGUCGCUCAACGGAUAAAAGUUA